UACGGAGGAUGCAGGCGUUAUCCGGAUUUAUUAGGUUUAAAGGGUGCGCAGGCGGCCCGAUAAGUCAGUGGUGAAAGUUUGCAGCUUAACUGUAAAAUUGCCAUUGAUACUGUCAGGCUUGAAUGUGGUAGAGGUAGGCGGAAUGUGUAGUGUAGCGGUGAAAUGCUUAGAUAUUACACAGAACACCGAUUGCGAAGGCAGCUUACUAUGCCACUAUUGACGCUGAGGCACGAAAGCGUGGGGAGCGAACAGG
This 253-nucleotide ribosomal RNA is filed under the name uncultured bacterium. RNAcentral's name for it is "partial 16S ribosomal RNA". It matches the Rfam family "Bacterial small subunit ribosomal RNA", at positions 524 to 776 of the family's 1533-position model. The record is from RNAcentral.